GAAGGUGAGCGCAGUCUGGCUGUGACAUGUGACACUCGCUGAUUACCAGGGUUGAAUCCUCUGAUACAGGCCACAGGAGGCUGUCCCCUUUCUCCCUCUCAUUUCCUUCACUUAUCUUUCAAAGUUUCAGGAUGAAAGAGAAUGGUCUACCCAGAUAGAAGAGGCCAUACUUCAGUCAAAAGUAUAUGAAUGACUAUGUUUUUUGCCUAAGAUCUCUAAGUUUUCAAAGAGUCUCUUUUUAUUUGAAAUCUCAGGAUAAGAAUAUGAACCAGGUUAUUGAUCAGUUGAUCAUCUAGCUAUUGCCUGAUAAUUUCCUGGCCAUGAUGCU
Molecule: unclassified non-coding RNA, 328 nt
Gene: 7SK
Rfam family: 7SK RNA
About the family: 7SK was discovered as an abundant small nuclear RNA in the mid-70s but a possible function has only recently been suggested. Two independent studies have found that 7SK RNA binds the CDK9/cyclin T complex (known as elongation factor P-TEFb).
Source: Ensembl